RNAcentral lists this long non-coding RNA (345 nucleotides) under Nicotiana benthamiana. RNAcentral's name for it is "long non-coding RNA (NBEN_LNC028243)". The record is from RNAcentral. Lineage: Eukaryota; Viridiplantae; Streptophyta; Magnoliopsida; Solanales; Solanaceae.
UGGUUCAAUGGAAAAACCAGGAGGCUGAGUACAAGAAUCCUUUAUUAUAUCUGAAGGCUAUUGAUCUUUCAAGUAAUAAAUUGGUUGGAGGUAUUCCUAAAGAGAUAGCUGAAAUGAGAGGAUUGAAAUCUUUGAACCUUUCAAGAAAUGAUCCGGAAAUAUUCCUAAAGAGAUAGCUGAAAUGAGAGGAUUGAAAUCUUUGAACCUUUCAAGAAAUGAUCUGAAUGGAAGUAUCAUUGAAGGAAUCGGUCAAAUGAAGAUGUUGGAGUCACUUGACCUGUCAAGAAACCAGCUUUCUGGUAUGAUUCCUAAAGGCCUUGCUAACUUGACUUUUAUUGGUGUUUU